UCUUUUAUCAGUCUGAAGGUUUCUGUUGUUUACUUCCAACAAGCUCAACAAUACUGAGGCCUGAGGCAGAUGUUAAAACAGGACCCAGUCCUGCGAUCAGAUCUGUGUGUGCAUACCCUUGGGACCAUGCAGAGACCCACCAACUGCAGGAUCAGAGCCUGGUAUUGCUCAGGAAAUCUUGGAGCUGCCCCUGCCACCAGACAUGAUAAAAUGAAGCACAGACAGGCCAACGUUGAGGGACUAAGAGCUGUCUCCAAAAGGGGAACUUUGCUAUCAAGGGAGCCUUUUUGGAAUCUGAAGAGAGCGGGGAUUGCAAUUACAGGAUGUGCAGAUGAGGAUGGCAUCUAUACACGUGCCCGACACCUGCUCUGAUGCAUUUCAAUUAGAAUAUGUCAGAGCAGAGUCUGCUGACCUGAUUAACAUGAUAUGCAUGAUUAAGCUUGUACAGUUCACUUUGGAAACAAAGUUAUGGUAGAUGCUUUUCUCAGUGGCAUUUUAGAUUCAUGAGUACAGUAACAUAGAUUUAUAGAUUCUAGGGUCGGAAGGGACCUCAAUAGAUCAUCGAGUCCGACCCCCUGCAUAGGCAGGAAAGCGUGCUGGGUCUAGAUGACCCCAGCUAGAUGCCUAUCUAACCUCCUCUUGAAGACCCCCACGGUAGGGAAGAGCACCAUCUCACUUGGGAGCCCAUUCCAGACCCUGGCCACUCGAACUGUGAAGAAGUUCUUCCUAAAGUCCAGUCUAAAUCUGCUCUCUGCUAGCUUGUGACCAUUAUUACUUGUAACCCCCGGGGGCACCUUGGUGAAUAAAAGCUCACCAAUUCCCUUCUGUGCCCCCGUGAUGAACUUAUAGGCAGCCACAAGGUCGCCUCUCAGCCUUCUCUUGUGGAGGCUGAAGAGGUCCAGGUGCCCCAGUGUCUCCUCAUAGGGCUUGGCCUGCAAGCCCUUAACCAUAUGCGUGGCCAUUCUCUGGACCCUCUCCAGGUUAUCCACAUCUCUCUUGAAGUGUGGCGCCCAAAACUGAACGCAGUAUUCCAACUGCGGUCUGACCAGUGCCCAAUAGAGGGGGAGUAUCACCUCCUUGGAUCUGUUCGUCAUGCAUCUGCUAAUGCACGAUAAAGUGCCAUUAGCUUUUCUGAUGGCUUCGUCACGCUGCCGACUCAUGUUCAUCUUGGAGUCCACUAGGACUCCAAGAUCCCUUUCCGCUUCCGUGCCACCAAGCAGGUCAUUUCCUAGGCAGUAGGCAUGCUGGACAUUUUUCCUCCCUAGGUGCAGCACUUUGCAUUUCUCCUUGUUGAACUGCAUUCUGGUGUUUUCUGCCCACUUGUCCAACCUGUCCAGGUCUGCUUGUAGUUGUUCCCUGCCCUCCAGCAUGUCUACUUCUCCCCACAUUUUUGUGUCAUCCGCAAACUUGGACAGAGUACACUUCACUCCCUCGUCCAAGUCGCUGAUGAAGACAUUGAAGAGUAUCGGUCCCAGGACCAAGCCCUGCGGGACCCCACUGCCCACACCCUCCCAGGUCGAUACCGACCCAUCCACUACAACUCUCUGGGUGCGACCCUCUAGCCAAUUCGCCACCCACUGGACUGUGUAGUCAUACAAGUCACAGCUUCUUAACUUGUUCACCAGUAUGGUGUGGGAUACCAUAUUGAAGGCCUUCCUGAAGUCUAAGUAUAUGACAUCAACCCCUACUCCUGCGUCCAGGCGUUUUGUAACCUGGUCAUAAAAAUAGACUAGAUUAGUUAGGCAUGAUCUACCUGCUACGAACCUGUGCUGGUUUCCCCUCAGCAUAAUUUUUCCUGCCGGGCUCUUGCAAAUGUGAGCCUUGAUAAUUAUUUCAAAGACUUUGCCAUACAUCCUUGCAUUACCAGAAUGGCAAUGUAUCUUUCAACUCCUCUCCUAUGGUUUCUUUUGCACUUUUAAAAAGAGGAGUGCUGCCAGUUUAAUUGAGGCCCCAAAUUCAGAUUUGUUGUGGAUUUAUUUUAAAGGACAGAAUUCUUAAAGACUAGAAUAAGUAGUAGUUUGUCCAUAAAACUGUAAAAAAUAUCAAGGAAAACAUUAUUUCACAUUCAGCCUAGUUUAGCAUAAGGACCCAAAUAAACUCAUAUUCUGCUACUUAACAACUUCAGGACAGGGAUUAAGACAUUUAUGAACUAUCUAAUGCAAUGCCUGUAAUUGUGAAGCUAUAGUUCUGAUUAGUCUCUUAGGUGUUAAUGUCAUAAAAAAUUAUUGAUAAUAACGAUGAUAAUAGUGUGCAAGAAUCAAGAUGAGAAACUAAACAGAAAUAACCAUAAAACUGACCAGACUAGUUUUAUAGUUUAAGGUAAAUGCAAUGAUAGUUUUUUGGUUAAUGAAUAAAAAGGAAAAAUGAAUUUUGAAAGAGAUUACAUUCUUUACUAAUAAAAGAUUAAUUGCCACAGAGGAUUGGAUUGUGAUACACCGAGUCUCUCUGGAUCAACUCUGGAUCAGCCAGCAAUUCCAUUUUACUGGGGCAAGUCAAGGAGUAACAUGCAAUUCUACCUGACUGAGAAUUACAAAACCAGGGCCUAUGUAACUUUACAGAUCAUAAUGCUCCUUUAACAUACACUGGACACAAAUCUGUUUUUAGUUCCAUAACUGAUUGCCAACUGAACUCAUUAAAGUUACACUGGAUUUACCCUA
Alligator mississippiensis (American alligator) is the source of this 2657-nucleotide long non-coding RNA. RefSeq lists it as uncharacterized. The record is from RefSeq and is a predicted model, not a curated record. Lineage: Eukaryota; Metazoa; Chordata; Crocodylia; Alligatoridae. The transcript has 3 exons.